This 458-nucleotide ribosomal RNA is filed under the name Eimeria alabamensis. Its description in RNAcentral is "SSU rRNA". It matches the Rfam family "Eukaryotic small subunit ribosomal RNA", at positions 1345 to 1831 of the family's 1831-position model. Lineage: Eukaryota; Apicomplexa; Conoidasida; Eucoccidiorida; Eimeriidae. The record is from RNAcentral.
AGCCUGCUAAAUAGGAUCGGGAACCUCGGUUCUCGCAUCACUUCUUAGAGGGACUUUGCGUGUCUAACGCAAGGAAGUUUGAGGCAAUAACAGGUCUGUGAUGCCCUUAGAUGUUCUGGGCUGCACGCGCGCUACACUGAUGCAUGCAACGAGUUUUUGACCUUGGCCGGAAGGUCUAGGUAAUCUUUUGAGUAUGCAUCGUGAUGGGGAUAGAUUAUUGCAAUUAUUAAUCUUCAACGAGGAAUGCCUAGUAGGCGCAAGUCAGCAGCUUGUGCCGAUUACGUCCCUGCCCUUUGUACACACCGCCCGUCGCUGCAACCGAUCGAAGGGUCCUGUGAACUCGAUGGACAGCCCAUCCCCUUCUUGGGGUUGGGCUGGAAGUUGCGUAAAUAGAGCCCUUUAAAGGAUGCAAAAGUCGUAACACGGUUUCCGUAGGUGAACCUGCGGAAGGAUCAUUC